AUACGUAGGGGGCGAGCGUUGUCCGGAAUGAUUGGGCGUAAAGGGCGCGUAGGCGGCCCGGUAAGUCUGGAGUGAAAGUCCUGUUUUUAAGAUGGGAAUUGCUUUGGAUACUGUCGGGCUUGAGUGCAGGAGAGGUAAGUGGAAUUCCCAGUGUAGCGGUGAAAUGCGUAGAGAUUGGGAGGAACACCAGUGGCGAAGGCGACUUACUGGACUGUAACUGACGCUGAGGCGCGAAAGUGUGGGGAGCAAACAGGAUUAGAUACCCUGGUAGUCCACACUGUAAACGAUGAAUGCUAGGUGUAGUGGGUAUCGACCCCUUCUGUGCCGCAGUCAACACAAUAAGUAUUCCGCCUGGGGAGUACGGCCGCAAGGUUGAAACUCAAAGGAAUUGACGGGG
RNAcentral lists this ribosomal RNA (397 nucleotides) under uncultured bacterium. RNAcentral's name for it is "partial 16S ribosomal RNA". It matches the Rfam family "Bacterial small subunit ribosomal RNA", at positions 523 to 918 of the family's 1533-position model. The record is from RNAcentral.